UGCACUUGUCUAUAAUUCUUUAUUCAUGUUUUUCAUAGAUAACAUGGUUGAUACCCCCACAAUAACUGACAUCUCUUAUCUUGUUUAUAAUACUGACACGGGAACAUGGGAACAUGUACACAAGUACACAAACACAGAGUCACAAUUUCAGCCCAACUACAGAGUUAACCUCCAAAAGAAAACAGGAGACCCAGAGGCCGUACAGCCAAGGCCUGUCCUGCUUUACAAAAUAGUAGCAAAAGAACAAUCACCUCUACAAAAGUAACAAAAAUCCUUACUAUCUAUCAUUGUGGAAGUGCUUGUAAUUUUGGAAGUUUGUAAUUUUCAAAAGGGUAUUAAUAAUAUGAAUGCCUAGAAAAUCCCCAGUAAAAAUAGCUCAUCUCUGUAAAAAUGGGCUAGCAGGACAACCCUUGGCUGUGCAUUUAGUCACAAACUUUUUUUUUCUCUCAAAUUUUUGUUAAUACAACAACAAUAACAUUGUUCCUUAAAUACAAAUAUGUACAGAGACUCCAACAUUUUUUUUCUUCUUCAAAAUAAUGCCCUAAACACUAAUGCAUUAUCUAUAAUAUAGGUUAUGCUCAUUUGGAUAUUUCCUUCACAGAAAUCGCCCAUGCAGUUGGAUACCUGAAUCAUCGUAAUUAGAUCACAGUUUCUUCACCAUUAUAUCGUAUUGAUGUUUUGUGUCUCUGUAACAACAUGAAUGUGUCACCACGGCAACAGCAAUAGUAUCUUCUCCUGCCUGUCAAAGACACAUUUAAUAUUCUUUCUUCUUUUUUUAAAUAGCCCCCCUCCCAAUCCUCCCUGACCCCCUGAAAAUGUUGUCUUCACCCCUGCCAACCUCCUGAGCAGGAUUUGAGCCAGCUUCUUCAAAUGUAAACAUACCGUUGCCUGCAAUGAGUGGAGAGAGAAAGGCACACAUGAUAAAAGCACACAGCUUUAAGCUACAGUACCUACAGAGGUUUUGGUUUGAUUAGCUAAAUGACACCUUUUUACCAUUCUAUCAGAUAUGACUUUCUCCUGGGAAUGUUAGUGUGGUAUGUAUGUGAUCUACCUUGAUUUGUUAUGUUUUGUGUUUUUUAAAUUGGAUGAUAAUGUUUGAAGUAUAGGCACCUAAUGAUUGGCUACCUCCCUUUGCUGGACAGAACAGAUUCAGGGGACCAUUCUCAGGGGCCUUCAGAUGUGUACAGUACCAAUCUCAGGGGCCUUCAGAUGUGUACAGUACCAAUCUCAGAAUAGGGUGCUUUGGGCUAUCUUUUCUCAUGUUUACAGGGUACUCUACUCUGUCUGUCCUCACUUUAACUGAUGAAGGAAGGGCAAAGGUCAUUAAAGACAGGACACUAAGAAUCUUUGUAUACCCUGGCCUACCACAGACUGAGAUAUUAGAUCAUUGGUUUUAUAUUCUGCAUUAUUCAGGGGGAUUCACAGGUGUGUGUGAUCACUUUUGAUCAGAGCGAACAGAGACUUCUUGCUUUCACAUGCAACACUGUACUUUUACAACCACUACAUGAGACCACAUCCAUUCACAACUAUCAACUGAAAUGGAUCGUUUUACAUGUCAUGGUCAAAUCACAUGCCAUGGUACAAUAUGUCACCAUGCUCCUCCGUCCUGUCUCAUACGUAGACAUGAACAUGAUCAUCCAUAUAGUCAAAUGUAGUGUUUAUAAAAAUAAAUAAAAAACGUCAACACAGCGUUUACAUUGGCUGACGUAACAUGACCAUGUAUUUACACACUCUACUCUGUGCCAAGUUGACACAGUCCAAAUUUUCAGUGCUUCUAUCCCAUGACAAUUGGCCAUUUAGGAAAAAACUAAAACAUUACAAAUACAGAAGACAGAAACUCCUUAUAGGAAGAAUAUGAUCAUCACUCAUUAUUAAAUGAACAAGCUGCUGUUGUUGUUAACACUUGAUUAUAUUAAGUUUUGUACCUAGCUUUAUAAAUGUGUUGGACUGCCAUUUAGCCAUUUAAUUUUACAUCUCAGUGCAGUUCAAGCAGUUUAAAAGGGGUCAUACCAUAUCGAAUAAGAUAUGAGAAUAAUCGUAAUCUGUAUACUCUUGUAUUGUAGUAUGCAUGUGCAUUAAAGGGAGGUGGAAGAAUAAGCUACUUUCUUAAUCAAAUGUAUCAAGAACUCCUUCCUGAGGAAAAGUCACACAAGACAAAAGCCUUUAAAGGUUUUGACAUUCUGAGUGAUGGACACAUAUUUAUGUAACAAACGCCUCUCUCUCUCUCUCAAACCAAGAGGGAGACCUCUAGCGCUGCAAAUCAAUCUCCACUCCCACACGUUCCUCUCUCUUCACUUGGAGGGCUUUGAGUCAAUCCCUGCUAUCGCUGCAUGCUUUGGCUAGUGUCUUAGUAUCGUAUUUAUUUUGUAGAUUUAGUCAAUUCUUUCCAAUAACCUGCAAGCACAAACCCUGCAUCCCCUCUAUUUAUUUUACCUUUAUUUAACUAGGCAACUCAGUUAAGAACAAAUUAUUAUUUUCAAUGAUGGCCUAGGAACAGUGGGUUAACUGCCUGUUCAGGGGCAGAACGACAGAUUUGUACCUUGUCAGCUCGGGGGUUUGAACUUGCUAGUCCAACGCUCUAACCACUAGGCUACCCUGCCGCCCCGGCAGAGGGGAUGGUCAAAAGAUUUUGGUCUGAAAAGUAUUACUGCCAUGUGUAAACACGCGAUAGCAGUCAUUGAAUCAAAAACCCCGGACACUGAUGCAAAGGGAAUUAUACAUCUCAAACAGUGUUUGGAUUUACAUUAUCAGUCAGAAGUUUGGAUGCAGCUACUCAUUCAAGGGUUUUUCUCUUUUAAAAAAAAACUAAUUUCUACAUUGUAGAAUAAUAGUGAAUACAUCAACACAUUGAUAUAACACAUAUGGAAUCAUGUAGUAACCAAAAAAAGUGUUCAACAAAUCAAAAUAUAUUGUAUAUUUGAGAUUUUUCAAAGUAGGCACCCUUUGCCUUGAUGACAGCUUUGCACACUCUCGGCAUUCUCUCAACCAGCUUCAUGAGGUAGUCACCUGGAAUGCAUUUCAAUUAACAGAUGUGCCUUGUAAAAAGUUUGUGGAAUUUCUUGCCUUCUUAAUGCGUUUGAGCCAAUCAGUUCUGUUGUGACAAGGUAGGGGUGGUAUACAGAAGAUAGCCCUAUUUGGUAAAAGACCAAGUCCAUAUUAUGGCAAGAACAGCUCAAAAAAGCAAAGAGAAAUGAUAGUCCAUCAUUACUUUAAAUCAUGAAUGUCAGUCAAUACGGAAUAUUUAAAUAACUUUGAAAGUUUCUUCAAGUGCAGUUGCAAAAACCAUCAAGUGCUAUGAUGAAACUGGCUCUCAUGAGGACCACCACAGGAACCAGAAUUCUCUCAACCUGCUUCACCUGGAAUGCUUUUCCAACAGUCUUGAAAGAGUUCCCACAUAUGCUGAGCAAUUGUUGGCUUCUUUUCCUUCACUCUGCAUUCCAACUCAUCCCAAAACAUCACACCAUUGGUUAGUGCCUGUAAGUAAGCAUUUCAACUGUAAUACCUGUUGUAUUCGGCGCAUGUGACAAAUAAACUUUGAUUUGAUUUGAAAGGAAGACCCAGAGUUACCUCUGCUGCAGAGUAUAAGUUCAUUAGAGUUAACUUCACCUCUGAUUGCAGCCCAAAUAAAUGCUUCACCGAGUUCAAGUAACAGACACAUCUCAACAUCUACUGUUCAGAGGAGACUGCUUGAAUCAGGCCUUCAUGGACAAAUUGGUGCAAAUAAACCACUACCAAAGGACACCAAUAAGAAGAGAAUUGUUUGGACCAAGAAAUACGAGCAAUGGACACACCUGGUGGAAAUCUGUCCUUUGGUCUGAUGUGAGUCCAAAUGUGAGAUUUUUGGUUCCAACUGCCGUGUCUUUGUGAGAUGCAGAGUAUGUGAACGGAUGAUCUCUGCAUGCGUGGUUCCCACCGUGAAGCAUGGAGGAGGAUGUGGAUGGUAUGAUGGUGUGGGUGUGCUUUGGUGGUGACACUGUCUGUGAUUUAUUUAGAAUUCAAGGCACACUUAACCAGCAUGACUACCACAGCAUUCUGCAGCGAUACUCCCAUCUGGUUUGCGCUUAGUGGGACUAUCGUUUCUUUUUCAACAGGACAAUGACUCAAAACACACCUCCAGGCUGUGUAAGGGCUAUUUGACCAAGGAGAGUGAUGGAGUGCUGCAUCAGAUGACCUGGCCUCUACAGUCACCCGACCUCAAACCAAUUGAGAUGGUUUGUAAUGAGUUGGAAUGCAUAGUGAAGGAAAAGCAGCCAACAAGUGCUCAGCAUAUGUGGGAACUCUUUCAAGACUGUUGGUAAAGCAUUCCAGGUGAAGCUGGUUGAGAGAAUGCUAAGAGUGGGCAAAGUUGUCAUCAAGGCAAAGGGUGUCUACUUAGAAGAUUCUGCAAUCUAAAAUAUAUUUUGAUUUGUUUAACACUUUUUUUGGUUACUACAUUAUUCUAUAUGUGUUAUAUCAAAGUGUUGAUGUCUUCACUAUUAUUCUACAAUGUAGAAAAUAGUCAAAAUAAAGAAAAACCUUUGAAUGAGUAGGUGUGUCCAAACUUUUGACUGGUACUGUACAUUAAAACACAAACAGGGUAAAUAUGCAGGUCUUUGUUUCUCUUUUUCUCACUCUGCUGGGGUGAGUACCAGUACAUUCCUAGUGGCCAUAACCCAGUGUGCUAUUAGAAGUCCAUACUCAAAUGCUGGCACUUUCAAUGGUUUAAAAAAAAUACACAAGAGAGUUUCAUUACACUUUCUGAAAGCUAAUUACACUACCCAUUAUCACAGGGUCUCCCAUUAGGCUACCUCAUUAUAUUAUCACAGGGUCUCCCACUAGGCUACCUCAUUAUAUUACCACAGGGUCUCCCAUUAGGCUACCUCAUUAUAUUAUCACAGGGUCUCCCAUUAGGCUACCUCAUUAUAUUAUCACAGGGUCUCCCAUUAGGCUACCUCAUUAUAUUAUCACAGGGUCUCCCAUUAGGCUACCUCAUUAUAUUAUCACAGGGUCUCCCACUAGGCUACCUCAUCAUAUUAUCACAGGGUCUCCCAUUAGGCUACCUCAUUACAUUAUCACAGGGUCUCCCACUAGGCUACCUCAUUAUAUUAUCACAGGGUCUCCCAUUAGGCUACCUCAUUAUAUUAUCACAGGGUCUCCCACUAGGCUACCUCAUUAUAUUAUCACAGGGUCUCCCAUUAGGCUACCUCAUUA
Molecule: long non-coding RNA, 5190 nt
Organism: Oncorhynchus tshawytscha (Chinook salmon)
Lineage: Eukaryota; Metazoa; Chordata; Actinopteri; Salmoniformes; Salmonidae
Source: Ensembl